Molecule: ribosomal RNA, 497 nt
Filed under: uncultured bacterium
Lineage: Bacteria
Description: partial 16S ribosomal RNA
Rfam family: Bacterial small subunit ribosomal RNA
Source: RNAcentral
GAUGAACGCUGGCGGCGUGCCUAAUACAUGCAAGUCGAGCGAACAGACGAGGAGCUUGCUCCUCUGACGUUAGCGGCGGACGGGUGAGUAACACGUGGAUAACCUACCUAUAAGACUGGGAUAACUUCGGGAAACCGGAGCUAAUACCGGAUAAUAUAUUGAACCGCAUGGUUCAAUAGUGAAAGACGGUUUUGCUGUCACUUAUAGAUGGAUCCGCGCCGCAUUAGCUAGUUGGUAAGGUAACGGCUUACCAAGGCAACGAUGCGUAGCCGACCUGAGAGGGUGAUCGGCCACACUGGAACUGAGACACGGUCCAGACUCCUACGGGAGGCAGCAGUAGGGAAUCUUCCGCAAUGGGCGAAAGCUUGACGGAGCAACGCCGCGUGAGUGAUGAAGGUCUUCGGAUCGUAAAACUCUGUUAUUAGGGAAGGACAAAUAUGUAAGUAACUAUGCACGUCUUGACGGUACCUAAUCAGAAAGCCACGGCUAACUACGUG